This 520-nucleotide ribosomal RNA is filed under the name uncultured bacterium. RNAcentral's name for it is "bacterial SSU rRNA". It matches the Rfam family "Bacterial small subunit ribosomal RNA", at positions 8 to 518 of the family's 1533-position model. The record is from RNAcentral.
AGGGUUCGAUUCUGGCUCAGGAUGAACGCUAGCUACAGGCUUAACACAUGCAAGUCGAGGGGCAGCAUGUGGUUGCUUGCACCAAUGAUGGCGACCGGCGCACGGGUGAGUAACGCGUAUCCAACCUUCCCCUUAGUAGGGCAUAGCCCGUAGAAAUGCGGAUUAAUACCCUAUGUUGUAUAUUGAGGACAUCUGAUUUAUACCAAAGGUUUACCGCUAAGGGAUGGGGAUGCGUCUGAUUAGGUUGUUGGCGGGGUAACGGCCCACCAAGCCGACGAUCAGUAGGGGUUCUGAGAGGAAGGUCCCCCACAUUGGAACUGAGACACGGUCCAAACUCCUACGGGAGGCAGCAGUGAGGAAUAUUGGUCAAUGGACGAGAGUCUGAACCAGCCAAGUAAGCGUGCAGGAUGACGGCCCUAUGGGUUGUAAACUGCUUUUAUACGGGGAUAAAGUGACCCACGUGUGGGUUUUUGUAGGUACCGUAUGAAUAAGGACCGGCUAAUUCCGUGCCAGCAGCGGC